Molecule: long non-coding RNA, 348 nt
Filed under: Gallus gallus (chicken)
Lineage: Eukaryota; Metazoa; Chordata; Aves; Galliformes; Phasianidae
Source: RNAcentral
UCCCUGUUAGCAUAAUAUAUGCCAGUACUCCAAUGCUCCACAUAUCGGUUGCUGUACUGAUUGGGUCAUAACUCAGAAUUUCAGGAGCUACAUAUUCUGGAGUUCCCAUAAUUUCUCUUAAUUCCUCACUGCUCUUCACUAUCCUGGAAAGGCCAAAAUCUACUAUCUUUAUGUCUCCCAGUGGAGACUUACUGGUUAGUAGAAUGUUUUGUGGCUUUAAGUCAAGAUGAACAACAUUGUUUCUGUGCAAGAAUGAAACUCCUUCUAAGAUCUGCUUCAUUAGUCGUUUCACAUCUUUCUCUUUGAAGGCCUCCUCUCUUUCAGCAACACACUGGUCAAAGAUUUCAC